This 253-nucleotide ribosomal RNA is filed under the name uncultured bacterium. RNAcentral describes it as "partial 16S ribosomal RNA". It matches the Rfam family "Bacterial small subunit ribosomal RNA", at positions 524 to 776 of the family's 1533-position model. The record is from RNAcentral.
UACGAAGGGGGCUAGCGUUGCUCGGAAUCACUGGGCGUAAAGGGUGCGUAGGCGGGUCUUUAAGUCAGGGGUGAAAUCCUGGAGCUCAACUCCAGAACUGCCUUUGAUACUGAAGAUCUUGAGUUCGGGAGAGGUGAGUGGAACUGCGAGUGUAGAGGUGAAAUUCGUAGAUAUUCGCAAGAACACCAGUGGCGAAGGCGGCUCACUGGCCCGAUACUGACGCUGAGGCACGAAAGCAUGGGGAGCGAACAGG